RNAcentral lists this ribosomal RNA (301 nucleotides) under uncultured bacterium. RNAcentral's name for it is "partial 16S ribosomal RNA". It matches the Rfam family "Bacterial small subunit ribosomal RNA", at positions 509 to 809 of the family's 1533-position model. The record is from RNAcentral.
CAGUCGCCGCGGUAAUUCGAAGGGUGCAAGCGUUAAUCGGAAUUACUGGGCGUAAAGCGUGCGUAGGCGGUUUGUUAAGUCUGUUGUGAAAUCCCCGGGCUCAACCUGGGAAUGGCAAUGGAUACUGGCAAGCUAGAGUGUGUCAGAGGAUGGUGGAAUUCCCGGUGUAGCGGUGAAAUGCGUAGAGAUCGGGAGGAACAUCAGUGGCGAAGGCGGCCAUCUGGGACAACACUGACGCUGAGGCACGAAAGCGUGGGGAGCAAACAGGAUUAGAUACCCGCGUAGUCCCUGUCUCUUAUAA